GAUGUGUUGCCCUUUUAAGUCUUAUCGCCAUUUUACCAUUGCGCAGCAAAGUUGAAGAGAAGUGACAUUAGCCAAUCAAUACAAGCAUAAUAUGUGUGCGUGCAUCCUAUAAACCACACCUAUUACAUGCUAAAUGGGAAAGUAAAGUCCUCAAAGAAAGAA
Molecule: long non-coding RNA, 162 nt
Organism: Carassius carassius (crucian carp)
Lineage: Eukaryota; Metazoa; Chordata; Actinopteri; Cypriniformes; Cyprinidae
Exons: 2
Source: RefSeq, a predicted model, not a curated record